RNAcentral lists this ribosomal RNA (497 nucleotides) under uncultured bacterium. RNAcentral describes it as "partial 16S ribosomal RNA". It matches the Rfam family "Bacterial small subunit ribosomal RNA", at positions 28 to 507 of the family's 1533-position model. The record is from RNAcentral.
GAUGAACGCUGGCGGCGUGCCUAAUACAUGCAAGUCGAGCGAACGGACGAGAAGCUUGCUUCUCUGAUGUUAGCGGCGGACGGGUGAGUAACACGUGGAUAACCUACCUAUAAGACUGGGAUAACUUCGGGAAACCGGAGCUAAUACCGGAUAAUAUUUUGAACCGCAUGGUUCAAAAGUGAAAGACGGUCUUGCUGUCACUUAUAGAUGGAUCCGCGCUGCAUUAGCUAGUUGGUGAGGUAACGGCUUACCAAGGCAACGAUGCAUAGCCGACCUGAGAGGGUGAUCGGCCACACUGGAACUGAGACACGGUCCAGACUUCUACGGGAGGCAGCAGUAGGGAAUCUUCCGCAAUGGGCGAAAGCCUGACGGAGCAACGCCGCGUGAGUGAUGAAGGUCUUCGGAUCGUAAAACUCUGUUAUUAGGGAAGAACAUAUGUGUAAGUAACUGUGCACAUCUUGACGGUACCUAAUCAGAAAGCCACGGCUAACUACGUG